GGUUCGCCUGAGAGAUAUUUAUAUAUUACUCAAAACAAAUAUUCAUUUUAAUUAUAUUCACUAAAUACCUGUUAUGAAAUGCUUUGAGCACACACGUGCAUACUUGAUUUCAUCUUCUGUAAAAUCUUCUCUCUUUAUUGCUGCUAGCCACUUCUGUCUUCUCAAAAUGACCAAUUCUCUCAAUUGCUGUUGAUGCUUAUAACUAGCCAAAUUUGAAGGAAUGCGGAAAAAACGAACAUUGUCACGUUCUCCACGGCUUCCACAAUUUAUCAUGCAGCAAAAAGAGGGCAUCUUGAGUUUCACACACAAAUGAAACAACGAAAAGAAGAUAUAUAAACACUCGAACUUUAACACAGAUAACGGAGAAUACGCUGAUUCUGAGAGGAACUUAAGAGAACUAAUGGAAAAUUAAUACACGAAAUAUCCGUCGUUUCACAAUUCCCCUUCCACAACUUCAUUUUUAAACUGUUACAGAGUUAAACUUCUUUUUUCAACCUUAGCAGUAUGAAUUGUAUGUUCUCCAACCUCCAUUUUUAAAGGGAUUUGACAGCGCAGUGACAGGGCAUUAGACUGCCCUAUUCAGGUACUCUUUGCUUUCGCUUUAAGGCGCAUUUAUACCAAACGAGCAUUAUUCGCGAACACUAACCGAUUUCAAGCGAAUAACCAGUAAUAACCGCGGUUAUUAGAGGUUAUGCCCUUGGUUAUAUCCCGAAUAACCAACAAUCUUGAAUACAGUUUGGUUUUUUCUGUGGUUAUUAGGUCCAACAAUAGAUGAAUAACUUGUAUUUAUGGCAAAACAACAUAACCAACGUCUCUGCACUGCACUCCCUCUUAUUUGUGUUCUGUGCUGCCCACGAUUUAUUUAUUGUUAUUAUUUUGUUGUAGUGCUGGUAGAUAAACUGGGAGUGCAUAUUUAUUUCAGAUUUCCCAUCUAUAGAUCAAUCUUUAAUUUACAGUGAAAUCAGUGAAUCAUGUCAAGUAAUGUUCCGGUUGUCGAAGAAAAGUUUCCACCUUCUCACUGAAGUGAUUGGGAAGGCAGAUACUAAAAAAAUUCUCUCCAAAAAAUAUAGAGGAGGACACUAUUCAUUGGACCUCAAAUCACAAUUGCUGAUUUCAUUGUAGUAUUUGGCUACUGGGGAUACUUUAUUAUCAAUAGGAGACAGAUUCAAUGUAUCACCUACUACAGUGAUGAACGUGAAUAACAGAAUCAUAUAUUUCUUUUUGCAACUAAAAAAAAAAUAUAUUAUUUUUCCUACCCAUGAAGAGCUUCACACUGUAGCACAAAGCUUCCCUCAUUACCCAGGAGCAGUUGGAGCAAUAGAUGGGACCCAUAUAUUUGCUAAGGUGGAGAAGGCUCAGCAAGAUAGCUAUAUCGAUAGAUAUAGAAGGCAUUCAAUAAAUCUGAUGGCUAUAUGCGAUGGAAAUUGUUUCUUCACUUACAUAUUCGUUGGAUUUCCAGGAUCUGCACAUGAUUCCCGGGUGUUUCAAAAUUCUUCACUAUAUCAUCAAAUUGAGUCACAUGGUCCGCACGGUUUUUUGAUGAAAAUUUUCAUCUUAUAGGGGACAGUGCCUUCGGACUGAGAAGUUGGCUCAUGACGCCUUAUAAAGAAAAUAAUCUUACGAGGAAACAAAAAAAACAUAAUUAUAUGUUGAGUGCAGACAGAGUGAAGAUCGAACAUGCCUUUGGAUUAUUGAAGGGAAGAUGGAGACGACUGCAAUAUAUUAAUGUGUAUAAUAUUUGUAAAACGGUUGAAAUCAUCACAGCAAGCUGUGUUCUCCAUAAUUUUUGUUUGAUUAAUAAGGACUUAUGGGAUGAAGAGGCUCCCAUAGAAUGUGCUGAUAGAAUAUUGAAUUAUCAAGAGGAGGAAGAUCAGCAAGAGGGUAGGGUGAAAAGAGAUGUAAUCGCAAACAGUUUUUGAUGUAAUGAAUUUUUCUGCUGUAGUCUGGAGAAUGGAACUUCUGCUAUAAUUUAUUGAAUGGAAAGUAACACUUUACAAAAACAGUAUCGAAAGAAGUUUUUUGGGACGAUUUGUUUGACAAUAACAUGAACU
Molecule: RNA transcript, 2051 nt
Organism: Coccinella septempunctata (seven-spotted ladybird)
Lineage: Eukaryota; Metazoa; Arthropoda; Insecta; Coleoptera; Coccinellidae
Gene name: putative nuclease HARBI1
Exons: 4
Source: RefSeq, a predicted model, not a curated record